GCAAUGAUCGUAAGCUACUUGAAAAAUGAACAAAUCUGAAACAAGAACAAAUUACUAAAAUAUGCACACACCAUCAUGAUAUUUUAGUUGUAAGAUAUGAGAGUAAUCAGAAAACUUGCUGUAAUCCAUUUCUAAGUCACCAAAAGGUGUGUAGAGCAUCUUUACGUGUGAUUACAAUGCAUACUGUGUUAGAAGCAGAAACUAUAGGUUUAAAUCUUAUACCUGGAAAAAAACUGUGUCUAACCUGUCGAAGUAAAGUUAUAACAUGUUUAUCAAAAAGUAUAAGUGAAAAUAAAAAUGAUGAAGAUUUUGAUAUUGUUAAUGAAAGAUCUAUUCAAAAUAAAAAAGAAAGUGUAGAUACAUACUUUGCAUCUGCCGCAGUAUCUCCAAUUAAGGUCAAAGGAUUGCACAAGUGUAAUGAACUAAUAAAAAGAUUGACCUCUUGAUUAAAUCUUUAGAUUUGUACAACUAUUUAACAAUAAUUGUACUAAUCUAAAGAUAAAAGAAAAUAGACACAUUUAUAUAACAAAUAGUUCAAUAACAAAAAAUAGAAAACACAACUAUCUUCCCAUCUAUGUAGAAAAGAACCCAUAAACUAGUUUUAUCAUUUUAAAAUAUAGUCAUCAUAUUUUACAGGAGCUUUACAAGCUCUGGCAGAACGUCGUAAUACAUCAGUAAAUGGCUCAGUUACUGGCUCAUCUACCCUAACUCUGAUUUCCGAUGCAAUUUCAGGGAGGGGUCUUUAUUUACAUCAAGUACUUUCGCAGUUACAUUCUCACUAGACUCAUUGAUACUAUUCUCAUUGAUAACAUUAAACUUUUCUCUUGGGGCAGGAUACGGUGCAAGAUCUUGAAGUGAAACAGUUGACUCUCGUCCAUCAGGGUAACAAAUAUUAGCAUAUAUUGGAUUUACAUCCACUAAUUCAACCUUAUCCACGAGAUUAUCGUUUUUGUUUGUACGCACAAAACGUCUUGGAAAAAUUGGGCCAGGAGUUAACGAAAAGUAGCGAACAGAGUGAGUGGAGAGCGUCUGAUAGAACAAUAUCCCGAUUUCUAACAUCUAGGUUGUAGGUUUUUAGUGCCAAACAAAUAUUUUUCCAGAUCAAGCCAUUAUAUCUCUUAACUUGUCCAUUACUGAUAGGAUGAUAUGGGGUAGAAUUACUUGUUGCAAUUCUUUUCUGAGUAAGGUAAGAUUUUAAUUCAUUAGAUAUUGGGUUGAUGAGCCUCUGUCGGAAUGAAUGUACAUUGGAAAACCACAAAAGGAGAAUAUUUGAUCUAAACACUUCACAACAGUUGUUGAACUAAUAUCAGGACAUGGGAAAGCAAAUGGAUACCGAGAAUAUUCAUCAAUGACUAUAAACAGAUAUUUAUUUCUAGAAUUAGAUGGCAAUGGUCCUUUAAAAUCUAUACUUAGGUGAUCAAUUGGACGUAUUGACUUGAUUAACUCACAGACAUUUGAGGAUCGAUAAACUUUGGUUUUAAUUCUGAACAAAUCUGGCAGUUAGAACAAACUCUCUUGACCUCUUCUGUAGAAAAAGGUAAAAUUUUUAGAUUUAACAAAGUGAAGCAUACGAGUAACUCCUGGGUGACAUAGACAGCUAUGUAUACCACUUAGGUUUGUUUGAGAUUGGGUUCUAGCACAAAAACACGUGUGAGUGCAUCAGGGACAAUAUUAUCACUUCCAGGACGAUACGAUAUAGUAUAACUAAACUCUGCUAACUCCAUCCUCCAGCAUUGAAUCUUACUAUUUUUAAUCUUUGUUUUCUUUCGGUUAUCAAAUAUAAAAGCUACAGAACGCUAAUCAGUAAUUAAUUUAAAUUGAUUCCGUAACAGUAAAUGUCGCCAUUUUCGAACAGCUUCAAUAAUAGCCACAGCUUCUUUUUCUACUGAUGGGUAAUUGAUUUCACUUUUGCCUAAUGUUCGAGACAUAAAGGCAACUGGACGACCAUUUUGAUUCAAGGUAACUGAUACGGCUACAUCUGAUGCAUCACAUUCAACAACAAAAGGUAAGCUCUCAUCAAUAGAACUCAAAGUGGCAGCAUGAAGUUCUCUUUUAAGAAAUUGAAAUGCUUAAAGUGCCUCACUAUUGAUAGGAAAAGAUUUAACAUUAAUUAAAGGCCGAACUUUAUUAGCAAACGAAGGUAUCCACUUUGAAUAAUAAGAAAACAUACCCAAAGUUCACCGAAAUGAUAAAAUGUUAGAAGGAGGAGGUAGUAUGUCUAAAGGACAUAAUCGCUCAGAAUCUGGUUUUAUGUUGUUAUGACUAACGCAAUAACCAAGAAUGUUUAUAGAAGAAGCUGAAAUAACCGGUUUUGAUUCAUUUAAAGUUAGACCCAACGUUGUGAAGCGUCUUGAAACCGCAGACAAUUUUUAUCAUGAUGUGCCUGAUCAUAACCACCAAUGGUUAUAUUGUCAAGAUAUGGAAAAGUGUCAUGUAACUUUUCUUCUUCAACAAACUUGUCCAUAGACCUUUGGAACUUAGACACACCAUUAGUAACUCCAAAUGGAAUCCUGCAAAAUUGAAAUAGUUUCCCAUUUGCCUCAAAUGCUGUAUACUUUUUGUCUGAAUUUUUAAUAGGGAUUUGGUGGUAAGCACAAGUCAAAUGUAGAGAAUACUUUGUACUUUGCAAGUCUAUUUAUCAUAUCAUCUAUUCUGGGAAGAGGAUAUGCAUCUAACUCAGUGUAAAGGUUAACUGUUUGAGAGUAAUCAAUACAAAGGAUUAAUAGUCAUAGCAUUGAGAGUUGCUGAGGUUUCUUCUGGUAAUUUUAUAGCGGCAACAAUAUUUUAAUUGGAGGAAAUCGAGGAUGUUUUCUGCAUAUAAGAAUAUGAGUUUCUUUGUGCAACGUCAAAAGAACAAGCUUGGUUAAAUGCUGAUUGCAAAUUCAAUGUUGAAUUUUCAAGAAGUCGUUGACGAAUGUAAUUCGAAUUUAUUCCAGAAAUAAAAGCAUCUCUUAUUUGUUCCUCUCGAUAUUGUUCAGCAGAAACAUCCUUGUAAUUACAGUUUUUACUGAGUUUACGUAGCUCCUGAAGAAAGUUUUCUGAGGAUUCACUCGAUGUUUGAUGUCUUAUAAGUAAUUGAUGCCUUGCAAAAUUUUCAUGAGGGGUUUUUAUAUAUAAGUUUUCUAGGGUUUCAAUUACACUUCCAUAGGAAUCACAUUCUUCAAUGUAAUCAUAAACAUUUGAUGAAACAAAAUUAAUGAUGGAGCGAAAUUUGUCUGGACCAUCCUCUCCACAAUCCUCAAUGAAGUUUUCAAAUGUUCGUUUCUAAUGCUUCCAUUCUUUUGAAGCAGAUGGUGCAUUAUGAUCAAGAUCAAGCCUAAUCGGUUUUAAGAUCUUUGACAUUUCCCAAUAAUUUUAUAUGUAUGUUAAAUAAAUUGUAAUGAACUAAUAAAAAGAUUGAUCUCUUGAUUAAGGCUUUAUUUAACAAUAAUUAUACUAAUCUAAAGAUACAAGAAAAUAGACACAUAUAAAACAAAUAGUUCAAUAACAAAAAAAUAGAAAACACAACAACAAGUCAGGUAAAAUCAGAGAAGGUAAACGAAAAUUGACAGCAUUAACAACCUCCCUUUAAAAAAAGGUAGCCAUUUCCCUUAAUAUAUCAGAAGAAAGUUUUGAAGAACAGUCAAGUUUUAAUAAUGAGUAUAUAAAAAAAGCAAACUUGUUUGAUAACAUGAUGGUAUUGUUAACUAACAAAAUUGCAGAGUCUACAUCAACAUCAAAAAAAGUACAACUUGCGACACUUGCUCCAACAGACUGGUCAAUAAAAAAGGUAUCUGAAACAUUGCAUGUAACAAACUAUAUAGCUCGAACUGCACGUAAGUUAACAUUAGAAAAAGGUAUUUUAACCAUGCCUAAUCCUAAAUUAGGAAAAGCUCUUCCUGAUGUAACAGUUCAACUGGUCAAGACCUUUUACAAAGACAAUGAACAUAGUCGUAUAAUACCUGGUAAAAAGGACUAUGUAAGCAUAAAGAAAAAUGUCCACAUGCAAAAACGUUUGCUCUUAUGUUAUUUAAAGGAAUUGUUUGUUGCCUUUAAAACCAAGAACCCAGAAAUA
Hydra vulgaris (swiftwater hydra) is the source of this 4054-nucleotide long non-coding RNA. RefSeq lists it as uncharacterized. Lineage: Eukaryota; Metazoa; Cnidaria; Hydrozoa; Anthoathecata; Hydridae. The record is from RefSeq and is a predicted model, not a curated record.